This 7830-nucleotide long non-coding RNA is filed under the name Sus scrofa (pig). Its description in RNAcentral is "lncRNA (ENSSSCG00005021918.1)". Lineage: Eukaryota; Metazoa; Chordata; Mammalia; Artiodactyla; Suidae. The record is from RNAcentral.
GAUCCGAGCUGCAUCUGUGACCUACACUGCAGCUUGCAGCAAUGCUGGAUCCUUAAUCCACUGAGUGAGGCCAGGGAUUGAACCCACAUGCUCAUGGAGACCACAUCAAGUCCUUAACAUGCUGAGCCACAAUGGGAACUUCUAAUUUUUUUUUUAAUUAAAAAUGUUUCUAAAUUCUAUAUUGGAGUACAGUUGAUUUACAAUGCUGUAUUAGUUUUAGGUGUGCAGCAAAGUGAUUCAGUUGUACAUAAACAUAUAUCCAUUCUUUUUCAGGUUCUUUUCCCAUAUAGAACCAAAAUGAAGAUAAACUGAAUAUUAACUCCACUUAGCCAACAAAAGUUACCCUGAGAGAACCUGGCCUGAAGAUGGCAGGAUGCCCAGGAUCGCCUCUCUCCAGCCCCAUGUUCUGUCUCCCAGCCUCACACACACCCCGCUGCCUGGCUGAUCCCAGGUUUGAAAGCUCCCUGGAACUCAGCCUUUCUUCUAAGCACCUCUCUGGUUUCGCUGUUGCCAUUUUUCACCUGCCCUCUGACUCCAUCUGGCCAAGGUGAGCAUUUCAGCUCCAGGUGGAUGUAGCUGGCCUGCUGGCCAAAGAUGCCCACCGGCCACUGCACUGAGCUGACACAAGGGCAACAGGGCAGCAGAUCUGGUCCCAGGUGCCACUGAUCUCUGGAGCAGGUUUUCUAACAAGGUCUUUCAGUGUGGAGAAGAGAACAGGGGAGCAUCAGGUAAGAGUUAUAUAGGGUGGGAGCCAGGGAAGGCAGGCAGAGGAAGGCAUGCAGACAUGUGUAUGCCUAAAAGUGUGCACAAGCAUGCACGCAUUCACACACACACACACACACACACACACACGUGACCUGCUCAAGUUCAGCAGCUCAUGACCAUUUUUCCUUUUCUGAAGAACAUCAGACUCAUCUGCCAGGUAACAGCAGCUGUCCGCCCCACCUACACGUGGAAUUUCUAGGCACAGCAAGGCCGGUGGCAUCCUUUACCCCGUGGCUCUUUCCAGUCCUGCCGUUUCUGGCUUUCCCCAGACUCUCUUUNNNNNNNNNNNNAAUCCAGUGAGAGACAAACACUGUCUGUGCCCUCCGUGAUAGGGUCCCACCAGUUUGCAAGUCCUUCCUGAUGCGGCAUCUGGCCUCCUGUCCUGAGGGGACAAACAGAAAGACCCAACUGGACCCUCAUGUUCCUUCUGCUCAGAGAGGCAGGAGGAGGUUGGGAGCAGAAAACAGGCUUCUACCACAGAGAGAAAGACAAUGUGUCUCCAAUGCACCAAGAAUUCCCAGGUCCUAGAAGAGGCAGGUGCUGGGAGAAAUGUCUAAGAUUAAGGGGCUGCCUCCAAUUUUUGACUAGUUCCUGGCACGUCCCAGCCCUGAACUUGGGGUUAGGUCUGCUCCUCUGGGCUCACAGGCAUCCUGUGUUUCCUCUGCCAGCAUCCUGGCCCAUAGCCGGCUACUUCCCACCAGGAUAGGAACUCCUGAUGUAGGUACAAAGUCCUCCAGUUCUGGCAGAGAAAGUUGCUCCCUAAGUGUUGAAAGACAUAGAGAGCCUUGUUUUGCAGAGGAGGAGCUGUUGCUUAGAGAAAGAAGAAGGGGAAAAGGGUGGGAAAGGAACCAGCCCUUCUGGAAAACCCAGAGGCUAGGGAGCAUCUUAGGCAUCUAACAUUCAUUUGUCUUAGGCCUCUGAGUUCAGUUCCUCCCAGAACCCUGGGGAAUUCAGGUCCCUACUCUGCAGACAUGCUAGCCAGUGCUGGGACCCAUGUAUGUGGGAGACAGCACAAUGCAAGGCUACAUAGAGUGAAAGGCUGAACAGCUGGGGACAGUGACCACAGGAGAGACCAGUGUCACAAGCCUCACGGCAAUGUGGAACAAGAGCAGGGCUGUGUAGGGGAGGAAUUCUGAGAGGCACCAAGUCCCCCCCGACCCCCGAAAUUUAAAUUUGGCCUGCCUUGCAGGCAGAGAUACAGAAUCCCUCAAGUUAAAAAAAAUUUUUUUUUUACAUUGGAGUAUGAUUUAGUGUUGUGUCAAUUUCUGCUGUACAGCAUAGUGACCCAGUCAUAGAUGUAUACACAUUUUUUCUCAUAUUAUUUUCCAUCAUGUUCUACCCCAGGAGAAUGGACAGAGCCCCCUGUGCUGUGCAAUAGGAUCACCUUACUUUUCCAUUCUAAAUGUAAUGGUUUACAUCUACCAACCCAAAGUUAAAAUGUUAAAGGGCAACAGACCCAAACUGGGAAAUGCACAGUUUCUACCUCGCCUCCCUCACCUUUGCCCAUUAGCAGAGUUAAAUUUAUACCAGGCAGAACUCAUACACACAAACCGAAAUGUACCACUGUUGGAAAUGUGAAACAACCACUCUUAUGAAUGGCAAUGCAUGGAAAAACACCUUCAACCUAUAAGAAGAUUACUUCUGAAAACUGGGAACAACUUCGAAAGAGUAAGAGAUUAUAAAAGAGCAUCAAGUAAUUUCCCAAUUUUGAAAAGACAGGGAAGUGUAUUAUACAUACACUCCAGAAGGGUCACCGCUCACAGCAGGUCCUAUUAGGAUUCUCAGGAUCUGUCUUCCUAGAAGAGGAAACUCAGAGGUCAUUGUCUUCUCUGCCAAUUGUCUGUGCCAUACAUGUAAGCAUCCCUGUACUAUAUCCACUUGUUUUAUGUCAUCUGACGUUAGAGCUAAAGGCUCCUUGAUGAUGAUUUACUCCACCCCCCUUCUUUUAUAUUUGGGAAAAUUGGGAGCUCGGUGCGUUUUCUCCAAGUUUUAGGAGCGGUGGGCCUAGCCUAGAACACUGCAUAUUUUCUAAAACGUCUUACCGAAUGCUACUCUUAACUACUGACCAUCCUAAUGCCUCUCAAAAGGAUAGGGCACAGAGCUUAAAUGAGAAAGAAAUUACACGCUGGCCAUUAAGAAGAAUACCACUUAUACCACCAUUUCAGCUUUUCUCUUGCUCCAGAGGCUCAAGCAGCAGAGUUAUGAACAUGUGAGCCAUGGCAGGUGAUGCUUCCAAGAACAUGUACUCCUGAGGUCACUCCCGCACACAUCGGGGCCCCUUCCCAGGGACCACAGAGAACAGCUGUCAUAAGGUGGGGCCAAGAAAGGCUGUUCUGUUUGUGCCUGUUUAGUGGGGCUGUGAUGAUACGUGAGGAAGUCUUUGGUAUGGCAAUAAUCCUGGAUUAUAAAUAAUUUAGCAUAUUUCUUUGUAAACGGCAGUCCAGAAUCCUUGCAAAUAAGAAAAGGAUUAACUUUUUUAGAAGGACUUGCUCUUGAGACUUUAAGUUCAAGGCAGAACAAUGCUUGCCGUGGUAAUUCCAUCUAUUUUAAGAUCACAAAACCAUACCAAGUUGAAACCGGAGCAGAAGAUAUUAAUGCAGUGCUCUCUCUGAAGUGCCCAAUAGUGGGGCGAGAAAGCUUUCAAAGGGAAUUAAGUAGACAGAGAAAGCUCCCUGUUCAUGUCCAAAUCACAAGGAGGCAGCUGAAUAGGAUUCACAGUUCUCCGUGGGAAGGACCCACACCACAGCUCAUGUUCAAAACAGGGGGGUGAUGUCUUGGGAAGAUCAAGGACCCAGAAUUCUGCUGUCAGAAUCAGCUGCCUGCCCAUUAGAGCCUCAAAAGACCCUCUUCCGUGUGUGAGCUGAUAUGAUCCUACAAAUGAGCCCAUUUUUCUUUUUCUAACCGGCCCAAAGUCUAUCUGAAGGAAACCGUCAUUAUGUAAUAUUUCCCAAGAGCCCUUGAUGUGAGCUUCAGAUCUGGGGUAUGUGCGUGUGCGUGUGCGUGUGUGUGUGUGUGUGUGCGCGCACAGUGGGAGAGGGUGAGGGGGCAGCGAGAAUAAGACGUACAUACAAAGCAGAGAAGCUGGAUGGGGAGCUUGGUGUGGAAGAACAGACACACCUCCAGGGUGAGCCUUGGGUCAAGAGGUCAACAUCUGGUUGGGACACAUAGAUGGCGGUCAUGGGGGCGGGGAACAAAAUGAGCUGCAAAGAGUCAGAGUCAGAAACAAUGGAAGGGCAACAAGAGACAGAGGUUGAGAAGUACAGGCUCACACACCAUCCACCAUCAAGGUGGGGGUGUGAAGGACUAGAGGAACAGGUCAAUGAGACCACACCGCAGAAGUCUAGCCUCCAAGAUCCUCCACAAUCUUCUCCUGCCUGUCUUUCCAGCCCCAUCUCCUGUGGUCUCCCAUAUGACAUCUUAUCUGCCAUCAUAUUAAAAAUGCAGCAGACUCUGCUGUUCUCCAUUCUUGCCUGUGUUUUUCCUGUCCUUUGUACCCAGACAGCCCUUUCUGUCUUCUCCUAAUAUGUCUCUCAUCAUCCAAGAUUUAGCUUCAGUCACCUCUUCCUGGAAGCCUUCCUUACUCCCCCAAACUGUAGGCUGGGUUAAGUACCACACCUCUGUGCUCUGAUGACAUCAUGCCAAUUUCCAAGCUGCUACCCAAGGAAGAUGGCCAAGAGGUUUCAUAUCAAGGGUCAACUGUAAACUCUGAAAGGGUCACGGUUACCUAGGGCAUGGUGGUAAGAAGGAUGCUGAGGCCUCCUCUGGAUUUAUUUGGAAAAAAUACUAUAGUUACUUAAGCAUACCUGCCACUUCAGGCCAUAGGCUACAGUUUGCCAUCCCUGUUCUGAAGCAACAUCUCAUUUGCCAGAUAAGGCGCUCAAGGCUGAAAGAUGGGAAAUAUCUGAUGAGCAUUUGAAGGCUGGUUAACAGCAAAAUCAGGAAAGGAAUUCCAGGUCUUGUGAUGCCUAAGUAAGCACUCCUUUUAAAUGAUAAAGAUUCCCCCCAAUUUUAAACCUGGAAUAUUGAAGCUUAAGAGAGUCUUAGCUCUUUCCAGAGGAGGAGGAUAAUUACAGAGUGAUUGAGCCUUGAGGAAGAACUUAAGAGAUUCAGUGAUUUUGCUUGGAUACCUCUUGCCUGAACCCCUGUGUCUUACAAGCUUUCCUCCCGCCCAAUCCUCCCCAAGUCCCCUGCCUUCAUGCUCUUCUCCAGGCAGUGCUGUUGGCACUGCCAGUGCCUAUCACCCAAGUUAAAACAAAGGCUUCUGAGCUGACUCUUCUGAUAUCACCCAUACGCCAUCAAAACGACACAUGCUCUUUGGUGUCAGGCAAGAAAGUGGAUGAAGUUGAAUCCACCUUUUCCCAUGUCAUCUUUCACUCCUCAACCUGGAACCUGAAACUCUCCUGAGAAAGAAAUAUACUUGGAAUGGUUUCCUUAGGUAAACUCUUUCGUGUCUGACUGUGAAAGGAAUUUUCCAGAGGGUUCCAGUUUCAGGAGCCUCCCAAGUAUAAGGGAAGGAGAGCUGACACACUCUCAGUCUGACAAGGGCUUGUCAUAUUACCACUGCACUUAAAUUUAGCUGGAACAUCUCAUGGGAUUCCAUAACGGCAUUUUCCUGAGACAUUAAAUGGUGAAACGCAAACUGCUUGACGGCCCAGCCCCUCUGCCACCGACCCGUGCUUCCCUGAGAGUUUGGGAUUAGAGAUGAGGUCUCCCAGCAUGUCUUGCCUCUGAAAAGGAACAUUUAACCUUUCAACUUCAGUAUGGGGACCUGGGGCUGAAGAGAGUCACCAGGAUGUCCACCUGUGAUGCGCUUUGACAUCAAAUGACCCGUUUCGCCAGGAUACCCAAGGACACAGUGCUAACCAAAGGCGGGAGAACUCCCAGAACUGGAAGCUAGUGAGAGACGAUGAUAGGACUUUGCCCACAGCCCGCUAUCCCAGGAUGCUCAACAGCAAUUAGCAACUGUGUCCUUUGUCUCACAGCAGCCCGGUUUCUACCGAGGACAGGGCAAGAGGGAAUGGGAUUAAGCUAGCAGCACUGGUUUUCAGAGGCAAGAGGUUAUUACACAGUCUCAUUUCAAGUUUCUUGGAAGGGUUUCUGGUCAACCAAACCCCUACCCCAACCCAGGCAGUACAGUCUCUGGGUGCCCUGCUUACUUCUCCAUGAGAAAUCAAAGCAGCCAAUUUGCAGUUACAUCUCCAAGGGGCUGCAAAGAGAAGGUGCUGUUGUAUCUGUUUGUCUCUGAAAGAAAGAGGCUCCUAAGGGAAGAGGGGGCUUGGAGGGAGAAGAAGGAGGGGACAAAGGCUCUGUGGGAUCUGCUCAAAGGUGCUUAGGCCCCAGAAGAAGGAUGGUGCAGGGAGGCCGAUGGGGGACGGAACCCCAGAAUCGUACAUUUUCAGGAGGAAAGGACCUCAGGGGUCAGAGGAUAUAACCUCUUCUAUUUUAUAAAUAAGGAAACUAAAAGUCAGACAUGUGAAGGGAUCUGGCCAAGGUUAGAAAACUUGUGAAGAGAGAACCAGGGCCCGAAUCCAUCUCUCCCAGGCCCCUCAUCUAGAACCGUCCCUCCAGUCCCACCCAAUAGCCACACGGACACCAAGGUCCUGCAGGAUGACCCCACAUCCAACCCCAUGAAGCCGUCUACAAUGCUGCUCUCCUCACAAAGCAAUGUCACAUCUGCCCAUUCUCUCUAAAAACUCUCUCCAUCAGCCACAUGGGCACAGAGACAGUCCUUUCUGGGAAGCGCCCUCACAGCUGACUUUUGUUGUGAAGCUCGCAAAGCCGCGUUGGCGAUUUUUUUUUUUUUCCUUUUUAACACAGCAGCUCCCUGACAAGAGGAUUAAAGCUGGAAGCUUUCAGAAAAGUCUCAAAAAUAAUUUAAAAUGCAAUAUGUUAUUGCCUCUCUAGAGGUUUGUAUACCUGCUUGAAAAAUCAUAACUCUCUCCUGCCACGCCCUAUCUGCAAUCCCGUCACUGGCAUGGUUUAUUGAAAUCAUGAAAAAAGAGUGAUCCGAGCCAUAAAUUAGGACCAGAAACCAAACUGGGCAGAUGAGGCUUUCCGAGUCAUAAGCCAAAAUGCAACGUGGGGCCACCAGUCUGGAGAUUUCCGAGGCAGCAAGUGGUAUUCUUUUGGAGCAUGCAUCCUUAGCAGGUUUCCCUGACAUAUGAUAGAAAAGAGACUAGAAGGUAGUUCCUCUGCCAAGUCAGCCUGCAGUAGAAUCACCUGGAGAGUGUGUAAAAACCCAGAGUGCCAGGCCUCACUCCUUGGAUUUUCGAUUCAGCAGGUCGAGGUUGGGCUUGAGAAUCUGCAUUCCUGAGAGUUCCCAGGAGAUGCUGACACUGCUCGUCUGAGAACCACACUUUGAGAUCCUCUGGGCUAGAACCGCUGCCCUGCUAGGUCGCUGCUGAGGUGGAGCUUAAUUACAAAGAGGAAGAUAGGAUGCAAGGUGGAAUUUUAAAAAUCCCUUCUCAGGUGCAGCAGGCAGGAUGGCAAAUAAAAGCGCACAGAUGUGAGGGUCCCGUUGUCAUAGCACUGGCUUUGAGCGGUCCCUUUAACGGGAGGUGAGCAGUACACUCCUGGUCCUUUAGUCCCCUCUAAAAAAGAUAAUGCCUGUCUGCUGCGCAAAAGCAAACACCAGGAGGCUUAAAAACCUGGGGUCUCUGUGCUCGUGCUCGUUCCUCAAGCAGGAGAAAAUAUCUUUAUGUAGCGAAAGUGCAGGGUAAAUAGAAAGUCGGGCUCGAUUUCCACCAGCUCGAGUCAAAGAAUCUGCUGAGAAGGCCACAUGACACACGAAAUGAAAUCCAGGUCCUUGAUACCCGGAGGCAGGAAAGGCAACGGAAAAUCCAAGAAAAUCCAAACGUUCCUGAAUUUCUACAGUAAACAGUUCUGGUCGGAUUCUCGUGCUAUUUUGGAACAUCCAUGAAGUUCAUUAACUGGCAUACAUUAAACAGGGAAAAGUUUGGAGGGAAAAAAAACGGUGCUGGAGGACAAAUCAGUAAUUGCUCCUUUAGAGCAAAGCAAAGUUACCAAGAAAAUCUCCUAUAAAGGCUCUGUCAAAACAAGUCACUU